RNAcentral lists this ribosomal RNA (484 nucleotides) under uncultured bacterium. Its description in RNAcentral is "bacterial SSU rRNA". It matches the Rfam family "Bacterial small subunit ribosomal RNA", at positions 327 to 804 of the family's 1533-position model. The record is from RNAcentral.
CGCCUUAUACUCCUACGGGAGGCAGCAGUGGGGAAUCUUCCGCAAUGGGCGAAAGCCUGACGGAGCAACGCCGCGUGAAUGAUGAAGGUCUUCGGAUCGUAAAACUCUGUUAUUAGGGAAGAACAAAUGUGUAAGUAACUAUGCACGUCUUGACGGUACCUAAUCAGAAAGCCACGGCUAACUACGUGCCAGCAGCCGCGGUAAUACGUAGGUGCCAAGCGUUAUCCGGAAUUAUUGGGCGUAAAGCGCGCGUAGGCGGUUUUUUAAGUCUGAUGUGAAAGCCCACGGCUCAACCGUGGAGGGUCAUUGGAAACUGGAAAACUUGAGUGCAGAAGAGGAAAGUGGAAUUCCAUGUGUAGCGGUGAAAUGCGCAGAGAUAUGGAGGAACACCAGUGGCGAAGGCGACUUUCUGGUCUGUAACUGACGCUGAUGUGCGAAGCGUGGGGAGCAAACAGGAUUAGAUACCCGGGUAGUCCACGUACCA